Non-coding RNA from Triticum aestivum (bread wheat), 139 nucleotides. NCBI's taxonomy places the organism in Eukaryota, Viridiplantae, Streptophyta, Magnoliopsida, Poales, Poaceae. The record is from Rfam.
AAGGUGGAUGAAGAAGAUGUCGUGUCCCACAUCCUGGCUGGACUCGACGAGGAGUUUGAUCCCGUGAUCUCGGCCAUGUGCUCUCGGGUCGAGCUAGUCAAGGUUCCGGAGAUGUACUUGCAGCUCCUGAGCUUCGAAA